CUUAGCUGUUAAAUUUAGUGAAUCUCCAGCGACCACAAUUCAAUUCUGCUUUGCUCGUUGUUGGAGCACUUAUUAUUAGUUCAUCCUUAGAAUUCAAACUCUACUUUUCAAAGACACGGCCGAGACUUUUGCUUUCAGUAUUGCUGAAGAAGUAUUGGGAAAGCUCGCUUCUAAAGCUGACAAGAGAUUUCUCUUGCCUGGGGUUAUAAAGAGGAACUAAAAAAGCUUGAGGAUAUCUUAUCAACUGUAAGAGCUGUGCUGUUGGAUGCAGAGGAGAAGCAAGCGAAGAAUCUGGAGCUACGCGUUUGGUUGGCUAAGCUUAAAGCCGCUCUUUAUGAUGCUGAUAAUGUUCUUGCUGAUUUUGAGUACGAGAUUACAAGAAGACGAGUGGUUAAAUUAGAUGGGAGUACCAUAAAAAAAGGUGGAUCAUUUCUUCUCAUCCUCUAAUCCACUCGUAUUUCCUUUUAAAAUGGAUCAUAAAAUAAAACAAAUAAGAGAGAGAUUAGACGAGAUUGCAAGUCAUAAGGAUAAAUUUCAUCUCACUGAAGUAGAUGAAAGUAGAUUUGUUGUGUAUAGAACAAGGGAGAUGAUCCACUCCUAUGUGCUAGCUUCUGAUAUCAUUGGAAGAGAUGCAGAUAAGGAAAAAGUUAUCAAACUUUUAAUGCCCAACUGAUGAUAGGGCAAUAUCUAUUAUUCCUAUUGUUGGAUUAGGAGGUUUGGGGAAAACUACACUUGCUAAAUUGGUCUUUAAUGAUGUGGGGUGCCAAUUUGCGCUUAGAAUAUGAGUUUGUGUUUCAGAAGAUUUUGAUAUAAAAAAAAUUAGUGGAGAAAAUUAUUAAAUCAACAACCAGUAGCACAGAAAACUUGAGCAAUUGCAAAGAAAGUUGCAAGAAACCAUUGGUGAUAAGAAAUAUUUGCUUGUGUUAGAUGAUGUGUGGAAUGAAGAGCCCAUGAAAUGGAACACAUCAAAGAAUUAUUGUGUAUGGGUGCAAACGGAAGCAAAAUCUUGGUAACUACUUGUUGUAAGAAAGUGGCUUAUAUUGCAGGCACCAUCCCUGCAGCUUAUGAGCUAUCACGUUUUUCUGAUGAUGAGAGCAAGGUUUUGUUUACUAAAUUUGCAUUUAAAGAAGGCCAAGAGAAAGACUAUCCCAACUUAUUAAAAAUUGGGGAUGAAAUUCUCAAAAAGUGUAAAGGAGUUCCUUAGCUGUAAAGACACUGGCUUCUCUUCUUCUUUUAAAAACUGACGAAGGUUAUUGGAAAUAUAUAAGAGAUAAUGAGUUGUGGAACUUAGAGCAGAAGGAAGAUGGAAUUUUACCAGCUUUAAGAUUGAGCAUUGAGCAGUUGCCAUCUCACCUGAAAACAUGUUUUGCUUAUUGUUCACUCUUUCUAAAGGACUAUCAAUUUUCGGAUCUUCAUUUAGUGCAAGUUUGGAUGGCACAUGGACUUGUUCAUUCAGUGAAUGAAAAAGAGGGAUUGGAAGAUGUAGGCAUGCGUUAUGUUCAAGAGUUAGCUUCCAGAUCUUUUUUUCAAGACUUCGAAGUACAAAGAGGAUUAUUUCUUGUAUUUAAAAUGCAUGAUCUAAUACAUGAUCUGGCAUUAUCAUUAACAAAAGAUGAAUGCACAAUUAUAACCUCUAGCACCAAACAACUCUCAGAGAAUGUUCGACAUUUGUUAUUUGAUGAACCCACUUUUCUUCCCGAAAAUCUUCCAUUGAUCUUACAAAGCUUAGAUGAUCGGAUCAGAGAAAACUGUUUCACUAAUGUAUGGGGGCGUCGACAAUCAACACAUUUUAGACUUGUGCUCGUCGAAAUUUCAAAAUCUAAGAAUGUUGGAAUUUAAUUAUUCUAACGUGGACUUGCCAAAACAGAUUGGUACUUUGAAGCAUUUGAGGUUUCUUAGUUUAUUUAUAAAUCCUCAAAUCAAAAGACUCCCAAAAUCUAUUUGCAAGUUGCACAAUUUACAAACAUUAGGCCUAUCUGGAUGUAAUGAAAUCGACGAUUUGCCCAAAGAUUUAAGGUUAUUGAUCAACCUUAUAUUUUUAGACACAACCACAGAGCAAAAACAUUUGCCAAAGAAUGGAAUAGAGUCAUUGAAACCUUUGCAACUUAAUUAUCGAAAGUUGAAAAUAGCUUAAUCUCUUUGCUGCAAGGUAUGAAAUUUCUAGUCGCACUGAAGGGUCUUUUCAUUUUUGAUUGUAAAAACCUUGAUUUGACAAUAGAGGAUAGGGAAAUUAAUGAAAAGUCGAGUGCACUUUGUCUUCAAAAGCUGAUACUUGAGGGAUUGCCGAUAUCGGUGAAUUUGCCACAAUGGCUUCUUCAAGGAUACACUCUACAACUCUUACAUCUGGAAGAUUGUGAUAAUCUCAGAGAAUUGCCAGCAUGCCUGCACAACAUAGAGUCUCUUCAACAAUUAACGAUUCUGGAUUGUCGUUUGUUGGGAGAAAGAUGCAAAUGUGAAGAGGGUGAAGAUUGGUCCAAGAUUUCUCAUAUCCGUGAAGUUACUAUUGAUGGCCACAACAUCUGAUGAAGAUAGUGAUUAGCAGGUAUCAUAUUCACGAGGACUUAACUGAACUGCAGAAAGUUCCACUGUUAGUUGAUUGUAAUAACCUUCACUUUACAUAUGGUAUUUUGUAAUUUGCAUUGUAUUCCUUAUUAAUUUUAUAUUGUAAUGGUGUCAUCUCCUUAUAUAUGAACUUUAUGUAUUUUAAAUAUAAACAUCACAAGAUUUGUAAAAGGAAUUCCAAUACCUGAGAAGAAAACAAAUUACCAUUUCAGUUGA
Jatropha curcas is the source of this 2778-nucleotide non-coding RNA. NCBI's taxonomy places the organism in Eukaryota, Viridiplantae, Streptophyta, Magnoliopsida, Malpighiales, Euphorbiaceae. The record is from RefSeq and is a predicted model, not a curated record.